GCAGAGUCAAUCUGUGGAACCUCUUGCCAGAGGAUGUUGUGAAGGCCAAAACUAUAACGGGGUUCAAAAAAGAACGAGAUAAGUUCAUGGAGGAUAGGUCCAUCAGUGGCUAUUAGCCAGGAUGGACAGCGAUGCAAACCCAGGCUCUGAG
This is a long non-coding RNA of Chelonia mydas (Green sea turtle), 151 nucleotides long. RefSeq lists it as uncharacterized. The transcript has 3 exons. Lineage: Eukaryota; Metazoa; Chordata; Testudines; Cheloniidae. The record is from RefSeq and is a predicted model, not a curated record.